This 532-nucleotide ribosomal RNA is filed under the name uncultured archaeon. Its description in RNAcentral is "bacterial SSU rRNA". It matches the Rfam family "Archaeal small subunit ribosomal RNA", at positions 343 to 879 of the family's 1478-position model. The record is from RNAcentral.
GAAAACUUUGCAAUGCGGGAAACCGUGACAAGGGAACUCUGAGUGCCCGUAAAAUCGGGCUGUCCAUCGGUUUAAAUAACCGGUGAAGAAAGGGCCGGGCAAGACCGGUGCCAGCCGCCGCGGUAAUACCGGCGGCUCGAGUGGUGGCCACUAUUACUGGGCUUAAAGCGUUCGUAGCUGGUUUGUUAAGUCUCUGGGGAAAUCUUCCGGCUUAACCGGAAGGCGUCUCAGGGAUACUGGCAGACUAGGGACCGGGAGAGGUGAGAGGUACUCCAGGGGUAGGAGUGAAAUCCUGUAAUCCUUGGGGGACCACCUGUGGCGAAGGCGUCUCACCAGAACGGCUCCAACAGUGAGGGACGAAAGCUGGGGGAGCAAACCGGAUUAGAUACCCGGGUAGUCCCAGCUGUAAACGAUGCGCGUUAGGUGUAUCAGUGACCACGAGUCACUGAGGUGCCGAAGAGAAAUCGUGAAACGUGCCGCCUGGGAAGUACGGUCGCAAGGCUGAAACUUAAAGGAAUUGGCGGGGGAGCAC